GUGGGGAAUCUUGCGCAAUGGGCGAAAGCCUGACGCAGCCAUGCCGCGUGAAUGAUGAAGGUCUUAGGAUUGUAAAAUUCUUUCACCGGGGACGAUAAUGACGGUACCCAGAGAAGAAGCUCCGGCUAACUUCGUGCCAGCAGCCGCGGUAAUACGAAGGGGGCUAGCGUUGCUCGGAAUUACUGGGCGUAAAGGGCGCGUAGGCGGACAGCUUAGUCAGAGGUGAAAGCCCAGGGCUCAACCUUGGAAUUGCCUUUGAUACUGGCUGUCUUGAGUUUGGGAGAGGUGAGUGGAACUCCGAGUGUAGAGGUGAAAUUCGUAGAUAUUCGGAAGAACACCAGUGGCGAAGGCGACUCACUGGCCCAAUACUGACGCUGAGGCGCGAAAGCGUGGGGAGCAAACAGGAUUAGAAACCCCAGUAGUCC
RNAcentral lists this ribosomal RNA (425 nucleotides) under uncultured bacterium. Its description in RNAcentral is "partial 16S ribosomal RNA". It matches the Rfam family "Bacterial small subunit ribosomal RNA", at positions 354 to 796 of the family's 1533-position model. The record is from RNAcentral.